CAGUCGUGAGGAAGGUGGUGUAGUUAAUAGCUGCAUCAUUUGACGUUAGCGACAGAAGAAGCACCGGCUAACUCCGUGCCAGCAGCCGCGGUAAUACGGAGGGUGCGAGCGUUAAUCGGAAUUACUGGGCGUAAAAGCGCAUGCAGGUGGUUUGUUAAGUCAGAUGUGAAAAGCCCGGGCUCAAACCUCGGAAAUAGCAUUUGAAAACUGGCAGACUAGAGUACUGUAGAGGGGGUAGAAUUUCAGGUGUAGCGGUGAAAAUGCGUAGAGAUCUGAAGGAAUACCGGUGGCGAAGGCGGCCCCCUGGACAGAUACUGACACUCAGACUGCGAAAGCGUGGGGAGCAAACAGGAUUAGAUACCCUGGUAG
This 369-nucleotide ribosomal RNA is filed under the name uncultured bacterium. RNAcentral describes it as "bacterial SSU rRNA". It matches the Rfam family "Bacterial small subunit ribosomal RNA", at positions 434 to 793 of the family's 1533-position model. The record is from RNAcentral.